AGAGUUUGAUCCUGGCUCAGAUUGAACGCUGCGGCAGGCUAACACAUGCAAGUCGAGCGGGAAAAGUAGCUUGCUACUUAACUAAGCGGCGGACGGGUGAGUAAUACUUAGGAAUCUGCCUAUAGUGGGGGACACAUUUCGAAAGGAAUGCUAAUACCGCAUACGUCCUACGGGAGAAAGCAGGGGAUCACUUGUGACCUUGCGCUAAUAGAUGAGCCUAAGUCGGAUUAGCUAGUUGGUGGGGUAAAGGCCUACCAAGGCGACGAUCUGUAGCGGGUUUGAGAGGAUGAUCCGCCACACUGGGACUGAGACACGGCCCAGACUCCUACGGGAGGCAGCAGUGGGGAAUAUUGGACAAUGGGGGGAACCCUGAUCCGGCCAUGCCGCGUGUGUGAAGAAGGCCUUUUGGUUGUAAAGCACUUUAAGCGAGGAGGAGGCUACUCUAGUUAAUACCUAGGGAUAGUGGACGUUACUCGCAGAAUAAGCACCGGCUAACUCUGUGCCAGCAGCCGCGGUAAUACAGAGGGUGCGAGCGUUAAUCGGAUUUACUGGGCGUAAGGCGUGCGUAGGUGGCCAAUUAAGUCAAAUGUGAAAUCCCCGAGCUUAACUUGGGAAUUGCAUUCGAUACUGGUUGGCUAGAGUAUGGGAGAGGAUGGUAGAAUUCCAGGUGUAGCGGUGAAAUGCGUAGAGAUCUGGAGGA
Molecule: ribosomal RNA, 700 nt
Filed under: uncultured bacterium
Lineage: Bacteria
Description: bacterial SSU rRNA
Rfam family: Bacterial small subunit ribosomal RNA
Source: RNAcentral